This 489-nucleotide ribosomal RNA is filed under the name uncultured bacterium. Its description in RNAcentral is "partial 16S ribosomal RNA". It matches the Rfam family "Bacterial small subunit ribosomal RNA", at positions 28 to 523 of the family's 1533-position model. The record is from RNAcentral.
GAUGAACGCUGGCGGCGUGCUUAACACAUGCAAGUCGAACGGAAAGGCCUGUACUUGUACAGGUACUCGAGUGGCGAACGGGUGAGUAACACGUGGGUGAUCUGCCCUGCACUGUGGGAUAAGCCCGGGAAACUGGGUCUAAUACCAUAUAGGACCACUUCUUGGAUGUUGUGGUGGAAAGCUUUUGCGGUGUGGGAUGAGCCUGCGGCCUAUCAGCUUGUUGGUGGGGUAAUGGCCUACCAAGGCGGCGACGGGUAUCCGGCCUGAGAGGGUGUACGGACACAUUGGGACUGAGAUACGGCCCAGACUCCUACGGGAGGCAGCAGUGGGGAAUAUUGCACAAUGGGCGCAAGCCUGAUGCAGCGACGCCGCGUGGGGGAUGACGGCCUUCGGGUUGUAAACUCCUUUCGCUAUCGACGAAGCCACCUUGGGUGGUGACGGUAGGUAGAUAAGAAGCACCGGCUAACUACGUGCCAGCCGCCGCCGUAA